GAUGAAGAACGCAGCGAAAUGCGAUAAGUAAUGUGAAUUGCAGAAUUUAGUGAAUCAUCGAAUCUUUGAACGCAUAUUGCGCCCGCCAGCACUCUGGCGGGCAUGCCUGUUCGAGCGUCAUUUCAACCCUCAGGCCUCGCGUCUGGCGUUGGGGCGCUGCGGCCCUCCCGCAGGCCCCCAAAUUUAGCGGCGGAUUCCCCGCGGCCCUGAGCGCAGUAGAGAGUAAAAACUUUAACGCUCCGGCGGCCGUGGCGCGGUUCUGCCUCUUUCCCAAUAGCGCCAAUAGCGCCACCCCCAAAAAAAGUUGACCUCGGAUCAGGUAGGACUACCCGCUGAACUUAAGCAUAUCAAUAAGCGGAGGA
RNAcentral lists this unclassified non-coding RNA (362 nucleotides) under soil metagenome. RNAcentral's name for it is "partial contains 5.8S ribosomal RNA, internal transcribed spacer 2, and large subunit ribosomal RNA". The stretch from base 1 to 120 matches the Rfam family "5.8S ribosomal RNA", at positions 35 to 154 of the family's 154-position model. The record is from RNAcentral.